UACGUAGGGUCCGAGCGUUGUCCGGAAUUAUUGGGCGUAAAGGGCUCGUAGGCGGUUUGUCGCGUCGGGAGUGAAAACACGGGGCUUAACCCCGGGUCUGCAUUCGAUACGGGCAGGCUAGAGUGUGGUAGGGGAGAUCGGAAUUCCUGGUGUAGCGGUGAAAUGCGCAGAUAUCAGGAGGAACACCGGUGGCGAAGGCGGAUCUCUGGGCCAUUACUGACGCUGAGGAGCGAAAGCGUGGGGAGCGAACAGG
Molecule: ribosomal RNA, 253 nt
Filed under: uncultured bacterium
Lineage: Bacteria
Description: partial 16S ribosomal RNA
Rfam family: Bacterial small subunit ribosomal RNA
Source: RNAcentral